ACCAGACUCCUACGGGAGGCAGCAGUGGGGAAUAUUGCACAAUGGGGGAAACCCUGAUGCAGCGACGCCGCGUGAGUGAAGAAGUAUUUCGGUAUGUAAAGCUCUAUCAGCAGGGAAGAAAAUGACGGUACCUGAUUAAGAAGCCCCGGCUAACUACGUGCCAGCAGCCGCGGUAAUACGUAGGGGGCAAGCGUUAUCCGGAUUUACUGGGUGUAAAGGGAGCGUAGACGGUGAUGCAAGUCAGAAGUGAAAGCCCGGGGCUCAACUCCGGGACUGCUUUUGAAACUGUGUGACUGGAGUGCAGGAGAGGUAAGCGGAAUUCCUGGUGUAGCGGUGAAAUGCGUAGAUAUCAGGAGGAACACCAGUGGCGAAGGCGGCUUACUGGACUGUAACUGACGUUGAGGCUCGAAAGCGUGGGGAGCAAACAGGAUUAGAUACCCGCGUA
This 445-nucleotide ribosomal RNA is filed under the name uncultured bacterium. RNAcentral's name for it is "bacterial SSU rRNA". It matches the Rfam family "Bacterial small subunit ribosomal RNA", at positions 330 to 792 of the family's 1533-position model. The record is from RNAcentral.